GGGGGGGGGGCUUGGAUGAAAUUUGAAAAAAGGCAAGACAGGCUUUUGAACAAACAAAGGCAGGAUCAGUAAUUUGGCAUAACAAGCAGGAUGACAAUUUAUGAAAACAAUUUCAGUAAACUAAUGAAAAUUGCAGGUCCGUAAAAGAAUGAAAAAUAAAAAAUGCAGGACAAUAAUGAUGAUUACAACUAUAAAAAAAUGCAGGACAAAAUUUUAAAUCCUAGCCCUCCCC
Molecule: long non-coding RNA, 232 nt
Filed under: Mytilus galloprovincialis (Mediterranean mussel)
Lineage: Eukaryota; Metazoa; Mollusca; Bivalvia; Mytilida; Mytilidae
Source: RNAcentral